CUAUCCUUCCAGAAGCAUCUGCUCGAUGCAGAACCAUCUUAAUCGGCUGGUCGAUGAGUAGUGUUAUGGUGUGCCCUUGAAAGUAAGGUCGGAGCCUUUGGACUGCAAUCAACAGGGUGUAAGUUAGUUUCUCUAAUUUAGCAUACCUAGUUUUGGCAUCUCUCAAUACUCGACUUAUGUAGUAGAUCGACCGUUGAAUCUUUGCUUCU
RNAcentral lists this long non-coding RNA (209 nucleotides) under Elaeis guineensis (African oil palm). Its description in RNAcentral is "long non-coding RNA (EGUI_LNC057521)". Lineage: Eukaryota; Viridiplantae; Streptophyta; Magnoliopsida; Arecales; Arecaceae. The record is from RNAcentral.